GACGAACGCUGGCGGCGUGCCUAACACAUGCAAGUCGAGCGAGUGGAGUUCUUCGGAACAAAGCUAGCGGCGGACGGGUGAGUAACACGUGGGCAACCUGCCUCAUAGAGGGGAAUAGCCUCCCGAAAGGGAGAUUAAUACCGCAUAAGAUUGUAGCUUCGCAUGAAGUAGCAAUUAAAGGAGCAAUCCGCUAUGAGAUGGGCCCGCGGCGCAUUAGCUAGUUGGUGAGGUAACGGCUCACCAAGGCCACGAUGCAUAGCCGACCUGAGAGGGUGAUCGGCCACACUGGGACUGAGACACGGCCCAG
This 307-nucleotide ribosomal RNA is filed under the name uncultured bacterium. Its description in RNAcentral is "bacterial SSU rRNA". It matches the Rfam family "Bacterial small subunit ribosomal RNA", at positions 28 to 334 of the family's 1533-position model. The record is from RNAcentral.